Molecule: non-coding RNA, 113 nt
Organism: Acanthosepion pharaonis
Lineage: Eukaryota; Metazoa; Mollusca; Cephalopoda; Sepiida; Sepiidae
Source: the annotation of a GenBank genome assembly
UUACGGCCACAUCACGUUGAAACACCGAUUCCCGUACGAUCACUGAAGUUAAGCAACGUCGAGUCUAGUCAGUACUUAGAUAGGUCACCGUUUUAAAAUAUCAGGUGCUGUAC